UACGUAGGCAGCAAGCGUUGUUCGGAGUUACUGGGCGUAAAGGGUGUGUAGGCGGUUGGGUAAGUGUGGUGUGAAAUCUCCCGGCUCAACUGGGAGGGUGCGCUACAAACUGUCUGACUAGAGUGCGGGAUGGGAAAGUGGAAUUCCUGGUGUAGCGGUGAAAUGCGUAGAUAUCAGGAGGAACACCGGUGGUGUAGACGGCUUUCUGGACCGUAACUGACGCUGAUACACGAAAGCGUGGGUAGCAAACAGG
Molecule: ribosomal RNA, 253 nt
Filed under: uncultured bacterium
Lineage: Bacteria
Description: partial 16S ribosomal RNA
Rfam family: Bacterial small subunit ribosomal RNA
Source: RNAcentral